Molecule: ribosomal RNA, 460 nt
Filed under: uncultured bacterium
Lineage: Bacteria
Description: partial 16S ribosomal RNA
Rfam family: Bacterial small subunit ribosomal RNA
Source: RNAcentral
CCUACGGUGGGCUGCAGUGAGGAAUAUUGGUCAAUGUGCGCGAGCCUGAACCAGCCAAGUAGCGUGAAGGAUGACUGCCCUACGGGUUGUAAACUUCUUUUCUAAAGGAAUAAAGUGAGGCACGUGUGCCUUUUUGUAUGUACUUUAUGACUAAGGAUCGGCUAACUCCGUGCCAGCAGCCGCGGUAAUACGGAGGAUCCGAGCGUUCUCCGGAUUUAUUGGGUUUAAAGGGAGCGUAGAUGGGUUGUUAAGUCAGUUGUGAAAGUGUGCGGCUCAACCGUAAAAUUGCAAUUGAUACUGGCAGCCUUGAGUACAGUUGAGGUAGGCGGAAUUCGUGGGGUAGCGGUGAAAUGCUUAGAUAUCACGAAGAACUCCGAUUGCGAAGGCAGCUUACUAAACUGCCACUGACAUUGAUGCUCGAAAGUGUGGGUAUCAAACAGGAUUAGAUACCCCUGUAGUC